This 253-nucleotide ribosomal RNA is filed under the name uncultured bacterium. RNAcentral describes it as "partial 16S ribosomal RNA". It matches the Rfam family "Bacterial small subunit ribosomal RNA", at positions 524 to 776 of the family's 1533-position model. The record is from RNAcentral.
UACGUAGGUGGCAAGCGUUGUCCGGAAUUAUUGGGCGUAAAGCGCGCGCAGGUGGUUUCUUAAGUCUGAUGUGAAAGCCCACGGCUCAACCGUGGAGGGUCAUUGGAAACUGGGGAACUUGAGUGCAGGAGAGAAGAGUGGAAUUCCACGUGUAGCGGUGAAAUGCGUAGAGAUGUGGAGGAACACCAGUGGCGAAGGCAGGUCUCUGGGCACUUACUGACGCUGAGGAGCGAAAGCGUGGGGAGCGAACAGG